UGAUGAUCCUGCCCUUGACUCUGGGAUAAGCCUGGGAAACUGGGUCUAAUACUGGAUACUACCUCUUACCGCAUGGUGGGUGGUGGAAAGGGUUUUACUGGUUUUGGAUGGGCUCACGGCCUAUCAGCUUGUUGGUGGGGUAAUGGCUCACCAAGGCGACGACGGGUAGCCGGCCUGAGAGGGUGACCGGCCACACUGGGACUGAGACACGGCCCAGACUCCUACGGGAGGCAGCAGUGGGGAAUAUUGCACAAUGGGCGGAAGCCUGAUGCAGCGACGCCGCGUGAGGGAUGACGGCCUUCGGGUUGUAAACCUCUUUCAGUAGGGAAGAAGCGAGAGUGACGGUACCUGCAGAAGAAGCGCCGGCUAACUACGUGCCAGCAGCCGCGGUAAUACGUAGGGCGCAAGCGUUGUCCGGAAUUAUUGGGCGUAAAGAGCUCGUAGGCGGUUUGUCGCGUCUGCUGUGAAAGCCCGGGGCUCAACCCCGGGUCUGCAGUGGGUACGGGCAGACUAGAGUGCAGUAGGGGAGACUGGAAUUCCUGGUGUAGCGGUGAAAUGCGCAGAUAUCAGGAGGAACACCGAUGGCGAAGGCAGGUCUCUGGGCUGUUACUGACGCUGAGGAGCGAAAGCAUGGGGAGCGAACAGGAUUAGAUACCCUGGUAGUCCAUGCCGUAAACGUUGGGCACUAGGUGUGGGGGACAUUCCACGUUUUCCGCGCCGUAGCUAACGCAUUAAGUGCCCCGCCUGGGGAGU
This 753-nucleotide ribosomal RNA is filed under the name Kocuria rosea. RNAcentral's name for it is "bacterial SSU rRNA". It matches the Rfam family "Bacterial small subunit ribosomal RNA", at positions 118 to 881 of the family's 1533-position model. Lineage: Bacteria; Bacillati; Actinomycetota; Actinomycetes; Micrococcales; Micrococcaceae. The record is from RNAcentral.